CUUCGGGUUGUAAAGCUCUUCUCGGCCGGGAAGAAAUCGCAUAGGUUAAUACCCUGUGUGGAUGACGGUACCGGAAUAAGAAGCACCGGCUAACUACGUGCCAGCAGCCGCGGUAAUACGUAGGGUGCGAGCGUUAAUCGGAAUUACUGGGCGUAAAGCGUGCGCAGGCGGUUUUGUAAGACAGGCGUGAAAUCCCCGGGCUUAACCUGGGAACUGCGCUUGUGACUGCAAGGCUAGAGUACGGCAGAGGGGGGUGGAAUUCCACGUGUAGCAGUGAAAUGCGUAGAGAUGUGGAGGAACACCAAUGGCGAAGGCAGCCCCCCUGGGUCGAUACUGACGCUCAUGCACGAAAGCGUGGGUAGCAAACAGGAUUAGAUACCCUGGUAGUCCACGCCCUAAACGAUGUCAACUAGGUGUUGGGUGGGUAAAACCAUUUAGUACCGGAGCUAACGCGUGAAGUUGACCGCCUGGGGAGUACGGCCGCAAGGUUAAAGCUCAAAGGAAUUGACGGGGACCCGCACAAGCGGUGGAUGAUGUGGAUUAAUCCGAUGCAACGCGAAAAACCUUACCUACCCUUGACAUGUCUGGAAUCCUGAAGAGAUUUGGGAGUGCUCGAAAGAGAACCGGAACACAGGUGCUGCAUGGCUGUCGUCAGCUCGUGUCGUGAGAUGUUGGGUUAAGUCCCGCAACGAGCGCAACCCUUGUCGUUAAUUGCCAUCAUUUAGUUGGGCACUUUAACGAGACUGCCGGUGACAAACAGGAGGAAGGUGGGGAUGACGUCAAGUCCUCAUGGCCCUUAUGGGUAGGGCUUCACACGUCAUACAAUGGUCGGUACAGAGGGUUGCCAAGCCGCGAGGUGGAGCCAAUCCAGAAAGCGAUCGUAGUCCGGAUGCAGGCUGCACU
RNAcentral lists this ribosomal RNA (903 nucleotides) under uncultured bacterium. RNAcentral's name for it is "bacterial SSU rRNA". It matches the Rfam family "Bacterial small subunit ribosomal RNA", at positions 416 to 1311 of the family's 1533-position model. The record is from RNAcentral.